UUAUACCGCGAAACUGCGAAUGGCUCAUUAAAUCAGUUAUCGUUUAUUUGAUAGUACCUCUUACUUGGGUAACCGUGGUAAUUCUAGAGCUAAUACAUGCUAAAAGCCCCGACCUCGGUCGGGGUGUAUUUAUUAGAUAAAAAACCAACGCCCUCCGGGGCUGCUUGGUGAUUCAUGAUAACUAAACGGAUCGCAUGGCCUUGCGCCGGCGACGGUUCAUUCAAAUUUCUGCCCUAUCAACUUUCGAUGGUAAGGUCUUGGCUUACCAUGGUUUCAACGGGUAACGGGGAAUUAGGGUUCGAUUCCGGAGAGGGAGCCUGAGAAACGGCUACCACAUCCAAGGAAGGCAGCAGGCGCGCAAAUUACCCAAUCCCAACAGCUGGGGAGGUAGUAACAAUAAAUACUGAUACAGGGCUCUUUUGGGUCUUGUAAUCGGAAUGAGUACAAUUUAAACCCCUUAACGAGGAACAAUUGGAGGGCAAGUCUGGUGCCAGCAGCCGCGGUAAUUCCAGCUCCAAUAGCGUAUAUUAAAGUUGUUGCAGUUAAAAAGCUCGUAGUUGAACCUUGGGCCUGGCUGGCCGGUCCGCCUCACCGCGUGCACUGGUCCGGCCGGGCCUUUCCUUCUGGAGAGCCGCAUGCCCUUUAUUGGGCGUGUUGGGGAACCAGGACUUUUACUUUGAAAAAAUUAGAGUGUUCAAAGCAGGCCUUUGCUCGAAUACAUUAGCAUGGAAUAAUGGAAUAGGACGCGCGGUCCUAUUUUGUUGGUUUCUAGGACCGCCGUAAUGAUUAAUAGGGAUAGUCGGGGGCAUCAGUAUUCAAUUGUCAGAGGUGAAAUUCUUGGAUUUAUUGAAGACUAACUACUGCGAAAGCAUUUGCCAAGGAUGUUUUCAUUAAUCAGUGAACGAAAGUUAGGGGAUCGAAGACGAUCAGAUACCGUCGUAGUCUUAACCGUAAACUAUGCCGACUAGGGAUCGGGCGAUGUUUCUAUCUUGACUCGCUCGGCACCUUACGAGAAAUCAAAGU
Molecule: ribosomal RNA, 1023 nt
Filed under: Pseudorobillarda sp.
Lineage: Eukaryota; Fungi; Ascomycota; Dothideomycetes; Pleosporales
Description: SSU rRNA
Rfam family: Eukaryotic small subunit ribosomal RNA
Source: RNAcentral